UACGAAGGGGACUAGCGUUGUUCGGAAUUACUGGGCGUAAAGCGCACGUAGGCGGAUUUGUAAGUCAGGGGUGAAAUCCCGGGGCUCAACCUCGGAACUGCCUUUGAUACUGCAAAUCUCGAGUCCGAUAGAGGUGGGUGGAAUUCCUAGUGUAGAGGUGAAAUUCGUAGAUAUUGGGAAGAAUACCAGUGGCGAAGGCGGCCAACUGGUCCAGAUCUGACGCUGAGGUGCGAAAGCGUAGGGAGCAAACAGG
Molecule: ribosomal RNA, 253 nt
Filed under: uncultured bacterium
Lineage: Bacteria
Description: partial 16S ribosomal RNA
Rfam family: Bacterial small subunit ribosomal RNA
Source: RNAcentral